RNAcentral lists this ribosomal RNA (210 nucleotides) under uncultured Anaerolineaceae bacterium. RNAcentral describes it as "partial 16S ribosomal RNA". It matches the Rfam family "Bacterial small subunit ribosomal RNA", at positions 1175 to 1382 of the family's 1533-position model. Lineage: Bacteria; Bacillati; Chloroflexota; Anaerolineae; Anaerolineales; Anaerolineaceae. The record is from RNAcentral.
UGGGAUGACGUCAAGUCAGCAUGGCCUUUAUAUCCUGGGCUACACACACGCUACAAUGGGAAGGGACAAUAGGUUGCGAAGCCGCGAGGCGGAGCCAAUCCAGCAAAACUUCCCUCAGUUCAGAUUGCAGGCUGCAACCCGCCUGCAUGAAGUUGGAGUUGCUAGUAAACGCAGGUCAGCCAUACUGCGUUGAAUACGUUCCCGGGGCUU